CAAUAGCGUAUAUUAAAGUUGUUGCAGUUAAAAAGCUCGUAGUUGGAUUUGUGGCGUACGGUGUGUUCCGGGCACUUGUUGUCUGAGUAACCUGCUGUUGCCAUCCUUGGGUGGAACCUGUGUGGCAUUAGGUUGUCGUGCAGGGGAUGCCCAUCAUUUACUGUGAAAAAAUUAGAGUGUUCAAAGCAGGCUUAUGCCGUUGAAUAUAUUAGCAUGGAAUAAUGAGAUAGGACUUUUUUGCUAUUUUGUUGGUUUGCGCAAGAAGGUAAUGAUUAAUAGGGACAGUUGGGGGUAUUCGUAUUCCAUUGUCGGAGGUGAAAUUCUUGGAUUUUUGGAAGACGAACUACUGCGAAAGCAUUUACCAAGGAUGUUUUCAUUAA
This 380-nucleotide ribosomal RNA is filed under the name uncultured eukaryote. RNAcentral describes it as "partial 18S ribosomal RNA". It matches the Rfam family "Eukaryotic small subunit ribosomal RNA", at positions 592 to 976 of the family's 1831-position model. The record is from RNAcentral.